RNAcentral lists this long non-coding RNA (256 nucleotides) under Lathyrus oleraceus (garden pea). Its description in RNAcentral is "Pisum sativum (pea) long non-coding RNA (PSAT_LNC024782)". The record is from RNAcentral. Lineage: Eukaryota; Viridiplantae; Streptophyta; Magnoliopsida; Fabales; Fabaceae.
UAUCUUUCAUAACAAGUUAACUACAUAACCUAACGAUGACUCUUGGAGCCAAAGAAAGAACAUGACAGUACUCACAAAAAAAACAAAACAACAUUAUCUAAAAAGAAAUAAAAAACAACAACAUAUUUCAAAAGAAAGCUUCCGAGAAAGUUGCAUUGAAAUGUAUUUGUUCUAUUUUGGAAAACAUUGUCGCUUUAUUCGCUCAUGACAACGUGGAUAAACCCAAAAUCACUCAUCAUUUUCUCUCUCUUUCUCU